RNAcentral lists this ribosomal RNA (462 nucleotides) under uncultured bacterium. Its description in RNAcentral is "partial 16S ribosomal RNA". It matches the Rfam family "Bacterial small subunit ribosomal RNA", at positions 28 to 507 of the family's 1533-position model. The record is from RNAcentral.
GACGAACGCUGGCGGCGUGCUUAACACAUGCAAGUCGAACGGAAAAGCCUUUCGGAGGUACUCGAGUGGCGAACGGGUGAGUAACACGUGGGUGAUCUGCCCUGCACUCUGGGAUAAGCCUGGGAAACUGGGUCUAAUACCGGAUAGGACCGCACUUUAGUGUGUGUGGUGGAAAGUUUUUUCGGUGUAGGAUGAGCCCGCGGCCUAUCAGCUUGUUGGUGGGGUAAUGGCCUACCAAGGCGGCGACGGGUAGCCGGACUGAGAGGUUGGUCGGCCACAUUGGGACUGAGAUACGGCCCAGACUCCUACGGGAGGCAGCAGUGGGGAAUAUUGCACAAUGGGCGCAAGCCUGAUGCAGCGACGCCGCGUGGGGGAUGACGGCCUUCGGGUUGUAAACUCCUUUCGCCAGGGACGAAGCGUUUUGUGACGGUACCUGGAGAAGAAGCACCGGCUAACUACGUG